This 423-nucleotide long non-coding RNA is filed under the name Gossypium raimondii (Peruvian cotton). RNAcentral's name for it is "long non-coding RNA (GRAI_LNC003024)". The record is from RNAcentral. Lineage: Eukaryota; Viridiplantae; Streptophyta; Magnoliopsida; Malvales; Malvaceae.
CUCUGACCACCAUCGUCGCCCCUCCCUCAUCUCACCGGACCGAUCUCCCUCACCCCCAUCGCGUGCAAGUCCCACACCCGACCACCAAGCCGCAACCCCCUUCCCCUUUCCUCUUUCUUUCCCUCUCUUUUUCCUAUUCCCUUUUUCUUUCUUCUUUUCCAUUUCGACCGACCAUCUUUCCCUCAACCACGUCGCAACACCGCCCGACCAAGUCUUCCAACCCGCACGAAAUCGACUAGCCCCACCUCACCCUUCCAAACCACCCUUCUUUUCCCAGCCCAAUCGCACACACUCCACCCCGAAUGCCCCACCCUGGCACCUCGUCCCUCUCCCCUUUCUCGGCCUUUUCCUAGCCUCGUUGCGUGCUAGAUGUUGCUGUUCACAACUCCGGCCAUCCCAACUGUCGUCGGUUCUUCUUUUUCC